GACGAACGCUGGCGGCGUGCCUAAUACAUGCAAGUCGAGCGAAUGACGAGAAGCUUGCUUCUCUGAUUUAGCGGCGGACGGGUGUGUAACACGUGGGCAACCUGCCCUACAGAUCGGGAUAACUCAGGGAAACCUGGCUAAUACCGGAUAAUCCUUCGAAUCACAUGUUUUGAAGUUGAAAGGCGCUUCGGCGUCACUGUAGGAUGGGCCCGCGGUGCAUUAGCUAGUUGGUGGGGUAACGGCCUACCAAGGCAACGAUGCAUAGCCGACCUGAGAGGGUGACCGGCCACAUUGGGACUGAGACACGGCCCAAACUCAUACGGGAGGCAGCAGUAGGGAAUCUUCCACAAUGGACGAAAGGCUGAUGGGGCAACGCCGCGUGAGUGAUGAAGGUUUUCGGAUCGUAAAACUCUGUUGUAAGGGAAGAACAAGUACGUUAGGAAAUGAACGUACCUUGACGGUACCUUAUUAGAAAGCCACGGCUAACUACGUGCCAGCCGCCGCCGUAA
RNAcentral lists this ribosomal RNA (509 nucleotides) under uncultured bacterium. RNAcentral's name for it is "partial 16S ribosomal RNA". It matches the Rfam family "Bacterial small subunit ribosomal RNA", at positions 28 to 523 of the family's 1533-position model. The record is from RNAcentral.